Molecule: ribosomal RNA, 734 nt
Filed under: uncultured bacterium
Lineage: Bacteria
Description: bacterial SSU rRNA
Rfam family: Bacterial small subunit ribosomal RNA
Source: RNAcentral
AGAGUUUGAUCAUGGCUCAGGACGAACGCUGGCGGCGUGCCUAACACAUGCAAGUCGAACGGGACCGGGGGCAACUCCGGUUCAGUGGCGGACGGGUGCGUAACACGUGAGGAACAUGACUUUCGGUGGGGGAUAGCCGGCCCAACGGCCGGGUAAUACCGCGUACGACCUUUUGGGGACAUCCCUGAAUGGUGAAAGCAGCAAUGCGCCGAAAGAGUGCCUCGCGGCCUAUCAGCUAGUUGGUGGGGUAACGGCUCACCAAGGCGACGACGGGUAGCUGGUCUGAGAGGAUGGCCAGCCACAUUGGGACUGAGACACGGCCCAGACUCCUACGGGAGGCAGCAGUGGGGAAUAUUGCGCAAUGGGCGAAAGCCUGACGCAGCGACGCCGCGUGUGGGAUGACGGCCUUCGGGUUGUAAACCACUGUCGGGAGGGACGAAUGCGCCGCAAGGCGAGUGACGGUACCUCCAAAGGAAGCACCGGCUAACUCCGUGCCAGCAGCCGCGGUAAUACGGAGGGUGCGAGCGUUGUCCGGAAUCACUGGGCGUAAAGGGCGCGUAGGCGGCCUGGUAAGUAGGGGGUGAAAUCCUGCGGCUUAACCGCAGGGCUGCCUUCUAAACUGUCAGGCUCGAGCACGGUAGAGGCAGAUGGAAUUCCCGGUGUAGCGGUGGAAUGCGUAGAGAUCGGGAAGAACAUCAGUGGCGAAGGCGGUCUGCUGGGCCGUUGCUGACGCU